Long non-coding RNA from Populus euphratica (Euphrates poplar), 454 nucleotides. RefSeq lists it as uncharacterized. The transcript has 2 exons. Lineage: Eukaryota; Viridiplantae; Streptophyta; Magnoliopsida; Malpighiales; Salicaceae. The record is from RefSeq and is a predicted model, not a curated record.
CAUAGCCGUCAACAAAGAAACUAUCCAGCUGCCAGGAGCAAAAAAACACGAACACGAAAAGCGAAAUCACCGGCAGACUCAUGCGAUCACGGAAGCCAACGCAACCGUCCAGGUCCAAGCCGCUAGUAACUCCACCAACGGCGAAAGUCGCGCGAAAACAAAAGGGAAAGCAACGGAAGGCAAAAAGACUGGACAUCCCUCGUUGGAUAGCGACGAGAAAAACCGCCCUCAUCAACAAGCAGGGGAGAUGGAGUUGGCACCGAUCCCACACUAAACGCACUGAAACCCACGGACCACCACCGCCACCCAUCUCCGCUAGCAAUUCUCACUUCUCUCUCGAGAAAAAGAAAAAAAAAACAACACCAAUGAACCAGUUACCAAUAAAACCACCAAACCACGGCAUAGCCGUCAACAACGAAACGAUCCAGCUGCCGGGAGCCAAAAAAAAAAAGAA